RNAcentral lists this ribosomal RNA (662 nucleotides) under Bacillus pumilus. RNAcentral describes it as "bacterial SSU rRNA". It matches the Rfam family "Bacterial small subunit ribosomal RNA", at positions 566 to 1228 of the family's 1533-position model. The record is from RNAcentral. Lineage: Bacteria; Bacillati; Bacillota; Bacilli; Caryophanales; Bacillaceae.
GGCUCGCAGGCGGUUUCUUAAGUCUGAUGUGAAAGCCCCCGGCUCAACCGGGGAGGGUCAUUGGAAACUGGGAAACUUGAGUGCAGAAGAGGAGAGUGGAAUUCCACGUGUAGCGGUGAAAUGCGUAGAGAUGUGGAGGAACACCAGUGGCGAAGGCGACUCUCUGGUCUGUAACUGACGCUGAGGAGCGAAAGCGUGGGGAGCGAACAGGAUUAGAUACCCUGGUAGUCCACGCCGUAAACGAUGAGUGCUAAGUGUUAGGGGGUUUCCGCCCCUUAGUGCUGCAGCUAACGCAUUAAGCACUCCGCCUGGGGAGUACGGUCGCAAGACUGAAACUCAAAGGAAUUGACGGGGGCCCGCACAAGCGGUGGAGCAUGUGGUUUAAUUCGAAGCAACGCGAAGAACCUUACCAGGUCUUGACAUCCUCUGACAACCCUAGAGAUAGGGCUUUCCCUUCGGGGACAGAGUGACAGGUGGUGCAUGGUUGUCGUCAGCUCGUGUCGUGAGAUGUUGGGUUAAGUCCCGCAACGAGCGCAACCCUUGAUCUUAGUUGCCAGCAUUCAGUUGGGCACUCUAAGGUGACUGCCGGUGACAAACCGGAGGAAGGUGGGGAUGACGUCAAAUCAUCAUGCCCCUUAUGACCUGGGCUACACACGUGCUAC